This 973-nucleotide ribosomal RNA is filed under the name Virgibacillus sp. C15. RNAcentral's name for it is "bacterial SSU rRNA". It matches the Rfam family "Bacterial small subunit ribosomal RNA", at positions 374 to 1324 of the family's 1533-position model. Lineage: Bacteria; Bacillati; Bacillota; Bacilli; Caryophanales; Bacillaceae. The record is from RNAcentral.
GACGAAAGUCUGACGAGAGCAACGCCGCGUGAGUGAUGAAAGGUGUUCCGGAUCGUAAAACUCUGUUGUCAGGGAAGAACAAGUGCCGUUCAAAUAGGGCGGCACCUUGAACGGUACCUAGACCAAGAAAGCCCCGGCUAACUACGUGCCAGCAGCCGCGGUAAUACGGUAGGGGGCAAGCGUUGUCCGGAAUUAUUCGGGCGGAAAAGCGCGCGCAGGCGGUCCUUUAAGUCUUGAUGUGAAAGCCCACGGCUUAACCGUGGAGGGCCAUUGGAAACUGGAGGACUUGAGUACAGAAGAGGAGAGUGGAAAUCCCACGUGUAGCGGUGAAAUGCGUAAGAGAUGUGGAGGAACACCAGGUGGCGAAGGCGACUCUCUUGGUCUGUAACUGACGCUGAGGUGCGAAAGCGUGGGGAGCGGAACAGGAUUAGAUACCCUGGUAGUCCACGCCGUAAACGAUGAGUGCUAGGUGUUAGGGGGUUUCCGCCCCUUAGUGCUGAAGUUAACGCAUUAAGCACUCCGCCUGGGGAGUACGGCCGCAAGGCUGAAACUCAAAGAAUUGACGGGGGCCCGCACAAGCGGUGGAGCAUGUGGUUUAAUUCGAAGCAACGCGAAGAACCUUACCAGGUCUUGACAUCCUCUGCCAAUCCUAGAGAUAGGAUGUUCCCUUCGGGGACAGAGUGACAGGUGGUGCAUGGUUGUCGUCAGCUCGUGUCGUGAGAUGUUGGGUUAAGUCCCGCAACGAGCGCAACCCUUGAUCUUAGUUGCCAGCAUUUAGUUGGGCACUCUAAGGUGACUGCCGGUGACAAACCGGAGGAANGUGGGGAUGACGUCAAUCAUCAUGCCCCUUAUGACCUGNGCUACACACGUGCUACAAUGGAUUGGAACAAANGGCAGCGAAGCCGUGAGGUCAGCAAAUCCCAUAAAACCCAUUCUCAGUUCGGAUUGCAGGCUGCAACUCGCCCUGCAUGAA